Molecule: ribosomal RNA, 693 nt
Filed under: Acinetobacter sp. Y7-17-2
Lineage: Bacteria; Pseudomonadati; Pseudomonadota; Gammaproteobacteria; Moraxellales; Moraxellaceae
Description: bacterial SSU rRNA
Rfam family: Bacterial small subunit ribosomal RNA
Source: RNAcentral
UGUAGCUUGCUACCUUACCUAGCGGCGGACGGGUGAGUAAUGCUUAGGAAUCUGCCUAUUAGUGGGGGACAACAUUCCGAAAGGAAUGCUAAUACCGCAUACGCCCUACGGGGGAAAGCAGGGGAUCUUCGGACCUUGCGCUAAUAGAUGAGCCUAAGUCAGAUUAGCUAGUUGGUGGGGUAAAGGCCUACCAAGGCGACGAUCUGUAGCGGGUCUGAGAGGAUGAUCCGCCACACUGGGACUGAGACACGGCCCAGACUCCUACGGGAGGCAGCAGUGGGGAAUAUUGGACAAUGGGCGAAAGCCUGAUCCAGCCAUGCCGCGUGUGUGAAGAAGGCCUUUUGGUUGUAAAGCACUUUAAGCGAGGAGGAGGCUACUUGGAUUAAUACUCUAGGAUAGUGGACGUUACUCGCAGAAUAAGCACCGGCUAACUCUGUGCCAGCAGCCGCGGUAAUACAGAGGGUGCGAGCGUUAAUCGGAUUUACUGGGCGUAAAGCGUGCGUAGGCGGCUUCUUAAGUCGGAUGUGAAAUCCCUGAGCUUAACUUAGGAAUUGCAUUCGAUACUGGGAAGCUAGAGUAUGGGAGAGGAUGGUAGAAUUCCAGGUGUAGCGGUGAAAUGCGUAGAGAUCUGGAGGAAUACCGAUGGCGAAGGCAGCCAUCUGGCCUAAUACUGACGCUGAGGUACGAAAGCAU